GACGGAAGGUGCAAGCGUUGCUCGGAAUCACUGGGCGUAAAGGGUGCGUAGGCGGCCGUGCAAGUCUGGCGUGAAAGCCCCGGGCUCAGCCCGGGAAGUGCGCUCGAAACUGCGCGGCUCGAGUGCAGGAGGGGAGAGUGGAAUUCCUGGUGUAGCGGUGAAAUGCGCAGAUAUCAGGAGGAACACCGGUGGCGAAGGCGGGUCUCUGGGCCGAUACUGACGCUGAGGAGCGAAAGCGUGGGGAGCGAACAGG
This 253-nucleotide ribosomal RNA is filed under the name uncultured bacterium. RNAcentral describes it as "partial 16S ribosomal RNA". It matches the Rfam family "Bacterial small subunit ribosomal RNA", at positions 524 to 776 of the family's 1533-position model. The record is from RNAcentral.